AAGUCGUAACAAGGUUUCCGUAGGUGAACCUGCGGAAGGAUCAUUAAAGAGUAAGGGUGCUCAGCGCCCGACCUCCAACCCUUUGUUGUUAAAACUACCUUGUUGCUUUGGCGGGACCGCUCGGUCUCGAGCCGCUGGGGAUUCGUCCCAGGCGAGUGCCCGCCAGAGUUAAACCAAACUCUUGUUAUUAAACCGGUCGUCUGAGUUAAAAUUUUGAAUAAAUCAAAACUUUCAACAACGGAUCUCUUGGUUCUC
RNAcentral lists this unclassified non-coding RNA (255 nucleotides) under Aureobasidium mahoniae. RNAcentral describes it as "Selenophoma mahoniae partial internal transcribed spacer region". The stretch from base 1 to 46 matches the Rfam family "Eukaryotic small subunit ribosomal RNA", at positions 1786 to 1831 of the family's 1831-position model. Lineage: Eukaryota; Fungi; Ascomycota; Dothideomycetes; Dothideales; Saccotheciaceae. The record is from RNAcentral.